This 472-nucleotide ribosomal RNA is filed under the name Eubranchus exiguus. Its description in RNAcentral is "partial 16S ribosomal RNA". It matches the Rfam family "Bacterial large subunit ribosomal RNA", at positions 1811 to 2619 of the family's 2925-position model. Lineage: Eukaryota; Metazoa; Mollusca; Gastropoda; Nudibranchia; Eubranchidae. The record is from RNAcentral.
AAACAUAGCCAGAGGAAGAUAUUUUUGGUUUAACCUGCCCGAUGUAUUAUUAAUAUAAAUGGCCGCGGUACCCUGACCGUGCUAAGGUAGCGUAAUCAGUUGGCUUUUAAAUGGAGUCAGGUAUGAAUGGAAUAACCGGGCUUAGCUGUCUCAAAGACAUUUAAUCGAAUUUACUAUUCAAGUGAAAAAGCUUGAGUUAAAUAAAGGGACGAGAAGACCCUUAGAAUUUUAUUUAAAGUAGAUCUAAUUUUUUGCUGUGAUUUUGUUGGGGCGACAGAGAAAUAUUAAAAACUUUCUUUAAAUCAAUUAGUCGGAUUUUUCAGGUUAGGAUAAAUUACCUAAGGGAUAACAGCAUAAUUCUAUAAAUGAGUUUGUGACCUCGAUGUUGGACUAGGGAGCUAGUGGGUUAGCUGCUCACUGUGCGGAUUCUUGUUCGAAUUUUAAACUCCUACGUGAUCUGAGUUCAGACCGG